Long non-coding RNA from Chiloscyllium plagiosum (whitespotted bambooshark), 633 nucleotides. RefSeq lists it as uncharacterized. The record is from RefSeq and is a predicted model, not a curated record. NCBI's taxonomy places the organism in Eukaryota, Metazoa, Chordata, Chondrichthyes, Orectolobiformes, Hemiscylliidae.
UGGACAGAGCUAAAGAAGCUAAACAAUGUUUUGUUCAUCAAGUAUUGAGACCUUCAAACGGUGCUACAGUUAAUGUAACAAAGUAUGAUUGAGUAUAAAGUAAAAAGUUCACCUUCAAAUCAGGUGGCCCAUAAAAAUGGCAAACCAUCUCAGUGAGUGUAAAAGAACGUGAUAGUAGCCUUCACUUCAGCUGCAAGAAGACAGAUAUGUAACUGAAGAUUUUCUAAAGAAUUAGAUGAUUUCAAAGGGACAAACCUUGCAACCAUCAUGAGAGGAUGAAGAGGAAAAUGAACAAAAUGGGGAAGGAAAAGGGGAUGAUGAAAGUGAGCAGUGCUACAAGAAAUGGAAAAAUUCCCAUCUAGCCUAUUCUCCAUAUUACAUAGAGUCCCAGUCUCUAUCCAGACUGAAGUAAGGUCAUUGUCUCAUCAUGGGCGGUUUGUUUCCAGCUCCUCAGCAUCAACGGACUCUGCAGUGUUCAACUAUCUAAUUAUUUGGUAUUUGAUUAUAUAUGUCUGGUAUCUGCUUUCUGUGUGUGAUUGUUUGAGGCUGGGUGUGGUGGCUGAGAAAGAAAAACUAAACUGUAGGCAAGUAAACUGUUAAGUAUGACAGCAGACAUUUUAAAACACUGAAUAA